Long non-coding RNA from Manis pentadactyla (Chinese pangolin), 2258 nucleotides. RefSeq lists it as uncharacterized. The transcript is spliced from 4 exons. NCBI's taxonomy places the organism in Eukaryota, Metazoa, Chordata, Mammalia, Pholidota, Manidae. The record is from RefSeq and is a predicted model, not a curated record.
GCCUGGGUGGGUCACUCUCCACGCCCCCUCCUGACGUCCUGUGCCCGGCUGCUCUGCCAGCCGUUUCCAGCAGUCCUGGACGCGCAUCCCAUGCCAGCCCCUGCUGAGCCCCUCACAGAACAGUCCCGCCUGCCAGCAGGUCUCGGUAGCCCUACUGGGGAGGGGGACAGGAAGCUGAGCAUGUGUCCCCUCCCUCAGCCACACCCUCUGGGCAGCCCCGGGGAUUAGUGUCCAAAAAUAGUGGCCAGGCUGUCGUGCCUCAUUCUGGGACUCAGACACAUGUGCACACCGUGUCCUGGCGAGGGUGGGGGCCCUGGGGCCCAGGCAGGCCUGGGUGCAUCUGGCCGGCAACCUCACCUCCCUGGGUGUCUGCGCCAGGGUCCCAGGAGACCCUCCCGGAGCUGCCGGCCAGAGUCGCUGCAGGCGCAGUCCCCCCGCCUGCUGCGCCCGUGAGAGACCUGCUGAAUUUUAAAACCGCACCUUCAUCUCCAUGAGGCGCAGGCCCCAGGAGCCUGGUUCCUGCCCUCGCCUGCUCUUGCAGGAAUCAGGGGCGGAGAAGCCGCCGCUCUCUGGACAAGGAGCGUGAAACCCGUUCCUGGCCUGAGGGGUCCUGGGCAGGUCAUUCCCGAGUAGGCCUUGAGAGGCAGAUGGAAAGAAAAACGUGUGUGGAGUCUUGGUUCUCUGAGAGGGGCGAUUGCCCACCUCUCGCAGCAGGUGCAGCCGUUGGGUGGCACGGCCCAGCCGGGAGCUGGAAGGGAGCCUGGGGAUGGACAUCACCUCCUCUGCUCAGCGGGGCUUUGUGCGAAGCCUCUCGUGUGGUUUUGGGUUUUUAUUGACACAAGAGUAUUGGUGGAAACCCUGUAGCGUGUGCACACGAAUUACACACCAAUGCUGUGAUUGCUUGGCCUGGGGGACCUGGCAGCUUCCUGUACCCUCUGGGAAAAUGGGUUUGCCAAGAUGCCAGGAGUCCCUGUUUGCAACAAAAGGAGAUAAACUGUGGCAGGAACCAGGAAGAUGCCCACCGCCAUACACACCUGCGUGCCUCGGUCGCACUCACUUCAAAGCACCGUGCGCUCAGUCGGUCAGCCCUGGGCCCACAGACGUGUGUCACGACUCCUACCCGUUGUUCUCAUGGGACUUGCCCAGUUUGAGGGGCUCUCAUUGCCCUGCCUCACUUAGGGAUUGACUGUCCAAUCGCCCCACCACCCACCUCCUGGCGCCUGUCCCAACGCGCAGCUGGCUCAGGGCCCAGCGUGCUCCCCACAGCGAUGCCUCGGACUGAAGUGAAAUGGUUUUGGUCAGUCAGCAGGACAGCCUCUGCUUCCCGACCUGCGGCGCCUGCCUCCCUGGCUUGCACGAGCAUCGUCUGUGGGCUUGGUUACCCACGAGGGGGCCGCGGGGCCUGCUGUCUGUGGUGCCGGGACGAGCUGGCCUGGCAGGCUUCAGGCCCAGCGGGAUGCAGGCCGGGCCAGGCCACUGCGUGAUUUCAUGUCACAGGAGGAAGUGGCGGUGAGCGGCCGGCCCUGCCCCAGCUUGGGAAGGCUCCAAGGUGACGGUUUGUGAAGUCUGGGGCGGGAGUCCCAACACCAAAGGCGGAAACCACAAGAGAACAGACCUGACCAGCUAAAAGUUUAAACAACGAUUCCUGACCGGCAUCAAAAUGCUCUAGGGUUCCACUAAUAAAUGUGCUGUCUGCUGUUGGUUUGAGAGAGAUUUUUAUUCCAUGUGGAAAAGCACCUCUUGGGUUUAAAAAGAUUGUUUGUUUUUAAUAAGAAAUGGAUGUUGAAUUUUAUCACGUGCCUUCUCAAGUUGUAUUGGAAUGAUCAUGUUAUUUUCCUUUGACACGUUCCAGUGUGGUUUUAUGGUAACAGGUUUAACGCAUUCCUGAGACAAACCUCACUUUAAGGAGCUCUAUGUGGCUGCAGUUUGCCAGCAUUUUAUGUAGGGCUUUUGUGUUUAUUUGUAAGUGGAAGUGGUGGGUACCCAUUGCCCCCAGGCACGUGGGCAUGCCAUCUCAUGAGCUUUGGGAUCAAGGUUUUAACUUUUCAGGGAACUGGGGAGUUGGACAUCUGUUUCCAUGAUCUUAAGAAUGUGAAAGAGCUGCCGGCCUCUAGCCCCUUUUGUGAAAGUAAUUCUUUAAUCACAUUUUCCAUUUCUCUUCUCAGAUUUUCUACUUUUUAAGUCAAUGUUUGAUAGUUAAUAGUUUCCCAAAAAGCAUCCUAAUUCAAGGAUUUUCCAAUUUUUAACAUAUAUCUUUU